UUCGCGCAAGGGGGUGCACACGACGAACACUCGCUGAGCAUGUCUGACUGGUGCUGUCGGUAGAGCAAGUAUGGGUGGGACCAAAAAGAUGGUGAAACAUGCCUGAGCACGGUGAAGCCAGAGAAAACUCGGGUGGAGGCUCGUAGCGAUUCCUCAGUCACAUCCAUUGUCAAAUCAAAUAUAUAUAAGAAAGACUAAUAGAGGCGUUUAGUAGCCUGUUCCUGCCGAAGUUUCCCUCAGGAUAGCAGACCCGUCCACAUAGAAAAUACACCAGACCGAAUGCCAGGAGGCCUUGGGGGGGACGCGACCUUAACCAAGUGUCAAACUUUAAACAAUUACGAGCGGUCUUUAUCUCUCUUUGCAAAGUGCUUUUCAUGAGAGUCCUCACUGUACCAUUUUUGGUAAGCAGAACUGGCGAUGCGGGAUGAUAGAUGGAAUUUGGCACCCAGCCGGAAUGCACUCCCAUCCAACUCCACUAAAGGAGAUUGCUUCUCAAGGCAUCGGGCCUGCGUCCCAUGAAGUGGGUUUUCGCUAUGGAGGACGUUACAUUUCAGGAGACGAAUGCACUAUCCGUCGCGGAUAACACUUCUCCAGCGUGCUACUCAUACCUCCAGUCCGCGUUGAAGUGAAGCGCGGACGAGUAGGCAGGCCGGAGCACUAAAAGAGCAUCCCGUAUUU
RNAcentral lists this ribosomal RNA (678 nucleotides) under Inonotus rickii. Its description in RNAcentral is "partial large subunit ribosomal RNA". It matches the Rfam family "Eukaryotic large subunit ribosomal RNA", at positions 736 to 1420 of the family's 3401-position model. The record is from RNAcentral. Lineage: Eukaryota; Fungi; Basidiomycota; Agaricomycetes; Hymenochaetales; Hymenochaetaceae.